AAAGUGGUUGAUACCCUGCUUCCAAGAAAAGCCUCUAAGCUUCAGGUAAUAAGGAACCGUACCCCAAACCGACACAGGUGGUCAGGUAGAGAAUACCAAGGCGUUUGAGAGAACUCGGGUGACGGAACUAGGCAAAAUGGUACCGUAACUUCGGGAGAAGGUACGCCGGUGAUUGUGAUGGGACUUGCUCCCUGAGCGAGAGCCGGUCGAAGAUACCAGGCCGCUGCAACUGUUUAUUAAAAACACAGCACUCUGCAAACACGAAAGUGGACGUAUAGGGUGUGGCGCCUGCCCGGUGCCGGAAGGUUAAUUGAUGGGGUCAGCCGCAAGGCGAAGCUCUUGAUCGAAGCCCCGGUAAACGGCGGCCGUAACGAUAACGGUCCUAAGGUAGCGAAAUUCCUUGUCGGGUAAGUUCCGACCUGCACGAAUGGCGUAAUGAUGGUGGCGCUGUCUCCACCCGAGACUCAGUGAAAUUGAAAUCGCUGUGAAGAUGCAGCGUACCCGCGGCAAGACGGAAGGACCCCGUGAACCUUUACUAUAGCUUCACAGUGGACUUUGAUAUUACUUGUGUAGGAUAGCUGGGAGGCUUUGAAACCUGGACGCCAGUCCGGGUGGAGCCAUCCGUGAAAUACCAGCCUGGUAAUCUUGAGGUUCUAACGCAGGUCCAUUAUCUGGAUCGCGGACACUGUGUGGUGGGUAGUUUGACUGGGGCGGUCUCCUCCCAAAGAGUAACGGAGGAGCACGAAGGUGUGCUAAUCACGGUCGGACAUCGUGAGGUUAGUGUAAAGGCAUAAGCACGCUUGACUGCGAGACUGACAAGUCGAGCAGGUACGAAAGUAGGUCUUAGUGAUCCGGUGGUUCUGUAUGGAAGGGCCAUCGCUCAACGGAUAAAAGGUACUCCGGGGAUAACAGGCUGAUUCCGCCCAAGAGUUCACAUCGACGGCGGAGUUUGGCACCUCGAUGUCGGCUCAUCACAUCCUGGGGCUGAAGCCGGUCCCAAGGGUAUGGCUGUUCGCCAUUUAAAGUGGUACGCGAGCUGGGUUUAGAACGUCGUGAGACAGUUCGGUCCCUAUCUGCCGUGGGCGUUGGAGAUUUGAGGGAAGCUGCUUCUAGUACGAGAGGACCGAAGUGGACGAACCUCUGGUGUUCCGGUUGUAUCGCCAGAUGCAUUGCCGGGUAGCUAUGUUCGGACGGGAUAACCGCUGAAAGCAUCUAAGCGGGAAGCCCCUCCCAAGAUUAGAUCUCCCUGGGGCCUUGAGCCCCCUGAAGAGCCGUUGAAGACUACAACGUUGAUAGGCUGGGUGUGUAAGCGCUGUAAGGCGUUGAGCUAACCAGUACUAAUUGCUCGUGAGGCUUGACCAA
RNAcentral lists this ribosomal RNA (1362 nucleotides) under metagenome. RNAcentral describes it as "bacterial LSU rRNA". It matches the Rfam family "Bacterial large subunit ribosomal RNA", at positions 1587 to 2925 of the family's 2925-position model. The record is from RNAcentral.